This 253-nucleotide ribosomal RNA is filed under the name uncultured bacterium. RNAcentral describes it as "partial 16S ribosomal RNA". It matches the Rfam family "Bacterial small subunit ribosomal RNA", at positions 524 to 776 of the family's 1533-position model. The record is from RNAcentral.
UACAGAGGUCUCAAGCGUUGUUCGGAUUCAUUGGGCGUAAAGGGUGCGUAGGCGGCGCGGUAAGUCGGGUGUGAAAUCUCGGAGCUUAACUCCGAAACUGCAUUCGAUACUGCCGUGCUUGAGGACUGGAGAGGAGACUGGAAUUUACGGUGUAGCGGUGAAAUGCGUAGAUAUCGGGAGGAACACCGGUGGCGAAGGCGGUUCUCUGGGCCUGUACUGACGCUCAUGCACGAAAGCGUGGGGAGCAAACAGG